RNAcentral lists this microRNA precursor (205 nucleotides) under Oryza glumipatula. RNAcentral's name for it is "MIR812 microRNA precursor family". It matches the Rfam family "MIR812 microRNA precursor family". The record is from Rfam by way of RNAcentral. Lineage: Eukaryota; Viridiplantae; Streptophyta; Magnoliopsida; Poales; Poaceae.
AAAAAGGCAAACCCUGGGUUUCCGUGUCCAACUUUGAUUGUCCGUCUUAUAUGAAAUUUUUUUAUAAUUCGUAUUUUCAUUGUUGUUAGAUGAUAAUACAUGAUUAAUAUUUUAUGCGUGACUUGUCUUUUUAAUUUUUUUUAUAUUUUUUUCAAAUAAGACGGACGGUCAAACAUUGGGCACGGAAACCAGGGUUUGUCUUUUU